CCUACGGGAGGCAGCAGUGAGGAAUAUUGGUCAAUGGGCGCGAGCCUGAACCAGCCAAGUAGCGUGAAGGAUGACUGCCCUACGGGUUGUAAACUCCUUUUUUAAAGGAAUAUAGUGAGGCACGUGUGCCUUUUUGUAUGUACUUUAUGAAUAAGGAUCGGCUAACUCCGUGUCAGCAGCCGCGGUAAUACGGAGGAUCCGAGCGUUAUCCGGAUUUUUUGGGUUUAAAGGGAGCGUAGAUGGGUUGUUAAGUCAGUUGUGAAAGUGUGCGGCUCAACCGUAAAAUUGCAAUUGAUACUGGCAGUCUUGAGUACAGGUGAGGUAGGCGGAACUCGUGGUGUAGCGGUGAAAUGCUUAGAUAUCACGAAGAACUCCGAUUGUGAAGGCAGCUUACUAAACUGCCACUGACAUUGAUGCUCGAAAGUGUGGGUAUCAAACAGGAUUAGAUACCCUGGUAGUC
RNAcentral lists this ribosomal RNA (460 nucleotides) under uncultured bacterium. RNAcentral describes it as "partial 16S ribosomal RNA". It matches the Rfam family "Bacterial small subunit ribosomal RNA", at positions 338 to 795 of the family's 1533-position model. The record is from RNAcentral.